GGGGUUGUGGCUCAGUGGUAGAGUGCCUGCCUAGUAUGCAUGAGACAUAAGGUUCAAUUCUCAGUACCA
RNAcentral lists this transfer RNA (69 nucleotides) under Marmota marmota marmota (Alpine marmot). It matches the Rfam family "tRNA". Rfam says of the family: Transfer RNA (tRNA) molecules are approximately 80 nucleotides in length. Their secondary structure includes four short double-helical elements and three loops (D, anti-codon, and T loops). The record is from Rfam by way of RNAcentral. RNAcentral also lists the same sequence under 1 other name. Lineage: Eukaryota; Metazoa; Chordata; Mammalia; Rodentia; Sciuridae.